GUCGAGGGGCCGCUCCGGGACUACCGCGAAGAUGAUGUCAUUUAUAGCAUCGGAGUGGCUCCAUGGAAGAGUACUACGAUUAGUAUGGAAAUAACAUCAAUGAAAAGUAUCGAAGAACGUUCGUUCUAGACUGCGUACGUCCCCGCCCACUGGUAGUCGGCAUACUCGUUUAUCAUGCGUACAUAUGACUUAGUGUUUAGGUAGUCGUAGACGUUUCCUGUAUGUUAAGAAACUACAAACGAGGACACAUAUAUCGAACACCAACUAAUUAAAAUGUUUUCCAGUUAUUAGUUAAUCGGCCUGCGCCCACAGAAAUAUUACUAUUUUGGGCUAAGAUCGAACAAGAAGAAACAGGGAUUUUAUGUGAAAUAUGUUGUCCAAUUUACUGAAACUGCAUUCUAUUAUCCGUCGGCAAGUGUACGCUGUGGGCUUCUAGCACAACGGUAGCGUAUUGAGAUCGACAAGGGCAUGUGAUCCGGACACUGUCACUGUGUUUCACGCCGGUACUGGAGCACUAGUAGCUAUUUAAUAUCGAUAACAAAAUGACGUCUCAGCAAAUCCAGCCUAUGUUAAACCUAGGAUUGUCAUUUCCAACCUUCGUUUGAAAAAAUCAUCUUAUAAUAUUAAAAGGAAACAAUAUAUAUUAUAAUAUAUCUCAUAGCCUUUCGUAACUCGGUGUAAGAAUUUGGUCUGUAUUUAUCCACAUUUUUAUGAGGUAUAUGAAGCUUAUUAAAUUUAUUCCCAUAGGAAAGUACUUUCUUAUUCUUUCAUUUAAAUUUAGGGAUUUUUGUCCUACACAGACACGAUAGUCAUUGUAACACGUAUACAUAAGAAAAUCUUAAAUAAAAAAUCCUUCGCGUUCUGACGACUCGCAACCCUUCUCAGCGCUUCUGACAGCGCUUUCUCCACAUUGAUUUCGUCCGAUGCCGAGGUGCGAUCUCGCUAAAAGACACCCUUAAGACGAACGGAAUGUGGACAUCCCAAGACCUCCUAAGGGCUCCUCUUCUUCCUUCACGGCUGGAUCUCAGUACCCGGCCACUCCACCCAGUGACGCUGUAAAGGCCGAUAAACAAACAACAGCCGACAGCACUUAACAGGUCGAAAUAAGGUCUAAUUAAAUAAAUAAAUAAAAACUAAUUUUUAUAAAUCAAAUAUCAUUCUAGCAUAUUAUGAUAAAGGUCCCGAUAGAAUAAUUUGCACCGCCCCAACAUCGAGGAAAGUACUUAUUUAACUGGAUUUGCUGCGGUGACGUCUACUUACACUGGGCUGCGUAAGGGACAUAACGAUAUGAGUAGCAAUAGGUGCCUAAAAUAGAUUUAAAUAACACUCGCAUUUAAUCGAAACAUUUUGAAAUAUUUUAUAACUAGAAUACAUAAAAGCUAAUAAUUAGGAUAGUUGACAUGACAUACCUUUAUAAUUGGUUUAAUUAACAACAGCUGCAGAUUUCAUUGACAUAUAAAAAUGUGAAUUUAUAUAUAACUAAUCCGGUAUAUUCCUGUUAUUCAUUGUUAGAAAAAAAAUGUAUAAGGUGUCAACUAAAAAGGAUAUUUAAAUAAAACAAUGAAAAUGUUUAAUUCUGAACAUCAUUCGAUAUUAUUAUUCACGAGCUUUACGUCAAUAAAAAUGUCCAAAUGAAUCUUGCUUGAACUUUAUGUUGUACCUUAGCUUGGCGACCACUGCACUAUUUGCGGUAAACAUAGUUCGAGUACCUACUUUAAAAAUAUUAAUUUAAUACAUCUUUUGGAACGAAGAAUGAAAUACAGUUUUUGUUACCAAAGUUUUUUCUUUAUCACAAUAUUGAGUUUAGAUGACCAAUUGUAUUUAGACUAUCAGCUAAUAAAUUGUUUUUGAGGACAGUCAAAAAUUUUUCUUGAAAGGAAACGUUAGUAGAGCCGAAUUAUAAUUCAUGAAUCGCAUAAAGGCAUCGCUGUUGUUAGAUAGACCAAUUCGUAAGUAGUCUAAUAGCGCAAUUAGCGAGGCAUUGACGAUGCAUCUAAUGCCGUCUGUCACUUUUGAGUGCGUGCUAUGUUCUGUGUGUGAGGGCGCACCUCACGUAUCGCCUCAGGUCUCUCUUUGAGAAAAAAAUAUAUCGUUGAAAUUCUAAUAUUUUUAAUGUAUUCCUAAUGGCAGAACUGUAAAAGGCUACAAUUUCAGUCGAAUACUUUAUUUAUUUACAUUAAAUUGGGCUCGUAUGUAAGAACUGUAUGUCAGAAAACAUGGCCAAUAAAUUAGGGCCGCGAGUGUGAUACAGCCCGUUGGCUCUGAGAGAGGCGGUGGGGUGCGCGUAAUUAUAGUUUAGUUGGUUAUUGUUGGGUAUGCGUACUUGUAUCUCGAGUAGAAUCACUGGAGGCCUUCACACGUGUUUAGUUGUUUGCGGCGCGACACAAACGAACACGCGCAGCUACACAAACGAUUUAUAUUUUAUAAAGAGUUGUUGUUUAUUUAUACAUUAUAUUUGUAUAUAACGGUGCGAAGUUUAAUAAAAUAAGCACUACACGGUGUGUUGUUUUAUUUUCAAUUAUAUCCUACUGUUGAAAUUAGAUUUUUAUUAAAUGACUAAUAUGUAAACAUGUUCAGUACCUAUAUUAUGAAAUAAUUACGAGUUUUACCCA
This 2612-nucleotide unclassified non-coding RNA is filed under the name Melitaea cinxia (Glanville fritillary). RNAcentral's name for it is "misc RNA ENSMCXG00005006746.1". Lineage: Eukaryota; Metazoa; Arthropoda; Insecta; Lepidoptera; Nymphalidae. The record is from RNAcentral.